GGUUGAAUUCAGUGUCGUAGCAGGAAUUCUUAGAGCUGGCCGUCCCAAGAUGGGGUGGAGAGAGCGGCAUGAAAGAGAGAGAGAGAGAGAGACACGCCUGAAUGGCAGCAGCAGGCCUUAGCGGCAAUGGACAGCAGGCACAGGACCAGCUUUGCCUCGAGCCGCAACGCUGAUGCCAGAAAAGGACAACCUCUCCAGAAUCGCCGCAGUGUGCUUCC
Unclassified non-coding RNA from Homo sapiens (human), 218 nucleotides. Lineage: Eukaryota; Metazoa; Chordata; Mammalia; Primates; Hominidae. The record is from Ensembl.